This 579-nucleotide ribosomal RNA is filed under the name uncultured Bacteroidales bacterium. Its description in RNAcentral is "bacterial SSU rRNA". It matches the Rfam family "Bacterial small subunit ribosomal RNA", at positions 148 to 725 of the family's 1533-position model. Lineage: Bacteria; Pseudomonadati; Bacteroidota; Bacteroidia; Bacteroidales. The record is from RNAcentral.
CUUUCGAAAGAAAGAUUAAUACCCGAUGGUAUCUUAAGCGCACAUGCAAAUAAGAUUAAAGAUUUAUCGGUAAGCGAUGGGGAUGCGUUCCAUUAGAUAGUAGGCGGGGUAACGGCCCACCUAGUCUUCGAUGGAUAGGGGUUCUGAGAGGAAGGUCCCACACAUUGGAACUGAGACACGGUCCAAACUCCUACGGGAGGCAGCAGUGAGGAAUAUUGGUCAAUGGGCGAGAGCCUGAACCAGCCAAGUAGCGUGAAGGAUGACUGCCCUAUGGGUUGUAAACUUCUUUUAUAAAGGAAUAAAGUCGGGUAUGCAUACCCGUUUGCAUGUACUUUAUGAAUAAGGAUCGGCUAACUCCGUGCCAGCAGCCGCGGUAAUACGGAGGAUCCGAGCGUUAUCCGGAUUUAUUGGGUUUAAAGGGAGCGUAGAUGGAUGUUUAAGUCAGUUGUGAAAGUUUGCGGCUCAACCGUAAAAUUGCAGUUGAUACUGGAUAUCUUGAGUGCAGUUGAGGCAGGCGGAAUUCGUGGUGUAGCGGUGAAAUGCUUAGAUAUCACGAAGAACUCCGAUUGCGAAGGCAGC